RNAcentral lists this non-coding RNA (222 nucleotides) under Paenibacillus illinoisensis. Its description in RNAcentral is "glmS glucosamine-6-phosphate activated ribozyme". It matches the Rfam family "glmS glucosamine-6-phosphate activated ribozyme aptamer". Rfam says of the family: This entry contains a glucosamine-6-phosphate activated ribozyme that is found in the mRNA for GlmS. Lineage: Bacteria; Bacillati; Bacillota; Bacilli; Caryophanales; Paenibacillaceae. The record is from RNAcentral.
UUAGUUACACAAGCGCCAGAGCUUGAAGUUGCGCGGGAAGGAUUUUGAACGGUAUGGAUCUCGGAACUCGAGAUUCACUGAUCAGGAUCGACGGCAAUCAAGCUGACGAGGUGGAGGUGUUCGGAUUGUUCGGCGGGGACCUCCCGGUGAUGCACCAUAGCCGUAAACCGGAUUGCGGAAAAUGGAUGGGUGACUGUCCACACAACGCGCCGGUAGGUGCAA